This 501-nucleotide ribosomal RNA is filed under the name Luthrodes pandava. Its description in RNAcentral is "partial 16S ribosomal RNA". The record is from RNAcentral. Lineage: Eukaryota; Metazoa; Arthropoda; Insecta; Lepidoptera; Lycaenidae.
UUUUUCAAAAACAUGUCUUUUUGAGUUAAUUUAAAGUCUAAUCUGCCCACUGAUUUUAAUAUUGAAGGGCUGCAGUAAUUUGACUGUACAAAGGUAGCAUAAUCAUUAGUCUUUUAAUUGAAGACUUGUAUGAAUGAUUUGAUGAAAUAUAAACUGUCUCUAAUUUAUAAAUAAAACUUAAUUUUUUAGUUAAAAAGCUAAAAUAUUUUUAAAAGACGAGAAGACCCUAUAGAGUUUUAUAAUUUUUAAUUUAAAAUAUUUAUAUAAAAUUUUAAUAUUAUAUAUUAAAAAUUAUUUUGUUGGGGUGAUAAAAAAAUAAAUAAAACUUUUUUUCUUAUUUAACAAAAAUAAAUGAAUAAAUGAUCCAUAUUAAUGAUUAAAAGAAAAAAUUACCUUAGGGAUAACAGCGUAAUAUUUUUUUUUAGUACAAAUAAAAAAAAAAGUUUGCGACCUCGAUGUUGGAUUAAGAUAAAAUUUAAAUGCAAAAGUUUAAAAUUUUGA